This 1496-nucleotide long non-coding RNA is filed under the name Oryctolagus cuniculus (rabbit). Its description in RNAcentral is "lncRNA (ENSOCUG00000033419.1)". Lineage: Eukaryota; Metazoa; Chordata; Mammalia; Lagomorpha; Leporidae. The record is from RNAcentral.
AAUGAACAUCGACCCCGCACCUUCCGAAGCCAGGCCUGUAGGUUUUACUUAGGGCACAGCAACUCCACGAGGCUUCGGUGGCUGAGCCACCAGCCACCGGGGAACCACGCUGACAUCAGCCUCACUCAGCCACAGGGAGGUGGAUGGUGACAGAGGAAGCAGACAGCAGUGAACAGCUGAGGCUGGAGGCAGGGGACAGGAAAGGGAAGGGAGCUCCACACCCAGGAACUUGGCUUGCUCCUCCACACAGACGUGUCUUCCUCUCCCUCCCAGGGUACUGACCGCCCCAGUGCUCAUCUCCGUCUGGUCACCAUUGGGCCAGACCUAGUCGGUGAGCUGUGUGUUAAAAGCUGUUACAUCAGUGUUUGGGUGUAGGUGAUUCACAGUCUGAUGUGAAUUCCACUGUUAGCCAUUCCCUUAGCUUUAGAUACAUACCAGUGCUGUGUUUCAGAUCUAUACAUUGAAGAAGGGUCAGUCAUGGAGCAUUAUUCACAAUGAAUAUCUCAAUACAUUAUCUGAAUCUCAGAAGCCAAUCUUUAAAGAUCCUUCAGUCAGAUGCUUCAUUUUAUAGAAGACAAUGCCCUAAGUUUAAAGAAAUAAAACGCCUGUUCAAGGUCCUGCAGCCAGGUUCAGAUAACAGGGUAAGAGGACGGUCUAGCAAAGCUGGCUCCUGGCACACAGGGCGGUGACCUGCCUCGGAGCCUCGGAGCAUCGGCCGGGAGAGGGUGCUGUGCAGGCCUAGAGGGCUCCAUCUGCAGAAGGCUUCAGAAAACAUCUCUAGGUAUUAUUGCUGUGAAUAAGCAUAGGCCAUUGUGACUCACCAGCAUAGAAAAGGGGUAGGGUCAGGGACGUGGGGCGGGAUGCCUAGCUGACAUCAGAAGCAGUUGAACCAUGCAGGGCAGCACACCGUGACCUGUCACUCAGAGGUGCGCUGCGUCCGGCAGAAGAGGGGCCGAGGACACCAAAGGGUCAUGAACAGCCAGCAGACUCUGCCUACCAGCACCCUGCUGCUUGGCAGGGCUGGCACUACUCCUAAUGCUGAGUCUCUGGGCAUAGAGGGGUUGGGCCUUGAAGAUACUCCCCCGGAAAAGCAGGAGUUGAAGUCUGGGCUACCUCUGGUGAGACAACCUGCAGAUCAGGCCACUGGCAGGCUUGCUCCAGGGACUCCUGCACCUGAGUGUUACCGGGCCCAGAAAGAAAGUGGUGCCAGGGGAUGCCCACAAGGCAUCCGGAAUGGUGCAACCCAGACAGCUGUCCAAGGGUUUUGCUCUGGCCGAGGACUGUGGGGGCCUCUUGCUGGGAGACUCAGGCAAGCUGGCCACUGGAUUCGGUUUAGGAGAGGAGUGAGAACAUGGAUGGUGUGGUCAAGGGGCCCACAUGUUGAGGUCCAGGAGACCAACACAUGGAAUUGGAGAAGAGGACUCAAAAAAAAACAAUUGCCGAGGGAGAACAGUGAAGCCAGACAGUAUGCUCCUUCUGGAACACUCUACCUGUAG